Molecule: transfer RNA, 65 nt
Filed under: Nilaparvata lugens (brown planthopper)
Lineage: Eukaryota; Metazoa; Arthropoda; Insecta; Hemiptera; Delphacidae
Description: tRNA-Trp
Source: RNAcentral
AAGGAUUUAAGUUAUCUAAACUAUUAACCUUCAAAGUUGAAAAUAUUCCUUAGGUUUAAGCCUUA